GUGAAUGUAAGUGUAAGAAGAGAAGCGUUCCCUUCAACUUGAGCAGUCAAGUGGUUCAAGCCAGUUUGAGGACAAGCAAAUUGUCCUGUUUCAAGCAAAUUGAAUCCAGUUUUUCUUCUAUAGUUUUCGAAAUAAUGACUUCAGGAAGAAACCUCGAGCCUUCCUUUUUGUGUGUUUGCUUAUAUUUUAUGUAUUGAUUGUGUGUUUGAGUGACACUUCUGGUGUGUUGUACAUUAUGUCUUUGUGAGUGGUCGCCCUUACAGAGUCUCUGCUGCUUCCCCAAGAACCCCACACCAGAGGAGGUUGUUGUCAGUGGCUGUUCCAACGUAGCACCUUAGCCAUUCACAACUGUUUCCUCCACAUCACAUUUCCAAUCACAUUAGACCUCUUAGCUCAGGACUCGUCAUGGCAACAUGACACUUGUAAGAAAAAAGAAUUUGUGGAUAUCCUCCCAUUUUAGCAAAUGCUCUGGAGCUGCGUCUUGCUUCUGGUAAAAAAAAGUAGGCAUCUCAUGAUUUCAGCCUUGUGUUUGGCAUUACUGUAUCUGCGUCUCAGUAACGGUGAAGUGUUGGAGACUGAGUGCAAUUUAUUUAAAAACCAUGAAUGAACAAAUCAUGGAUUUCAAUUGUUUUCAAAAUAAUGAUUUAGCUGGUAAGGGGAAGGGCUUUUGACUAUCCAAACUUACCCAAACUUUCCAUGUCUGUGUUCUCCAUAUUGGAAUCAUAAAGUACAUGUGGUUUUUUUUUCCCUCUGAAUUUAGCCCUCUGACAGUUUUCACUACUGGCAGAAUACACCUCAGGUCAGCUGACAACCUAUUGAUGAAACGGUAACUUGUUUUGCUGGUGUGGUUGUGGAAUUUGACCGGGCAGAGACUGGAAGAUACUGUAAUGCUGCAUCUUGCACCUCAUUUCCAGAGAAUAUACCUGAACAUGCGUUCUCUUUUUUUUUUUUUAUCUCAAAGUGCUUUUGGGUUGUCAGUAUCUGGCUAGCACACAAAAAGUUUGCUGGAACAGUUCCCAGCAAGGUAUCAUGCAUAUUUUCAAUGGUCUUCCAUGUUGCAGUAUAACCAUGUUUGUCCAUGCAUAGCCUCUUUGAAAGAAGAACACUUCAGAAAUAGUGGCCUCCGUAGUAAUGGAAUCACCAUAGUUUCUGUUAACUACGUCAAAAAUGUUUUCUGGAAAUGAGGUAUUAACUUUGCUUCUAAAUGAGCAGAGAAGAGCUAUAGUUACAUCAAGACAAACCUUGCCUUGCCAUUUUGAAAAGAAUGCCUAUUUUCUUGUUAUCGUUUAUUUUACCACAUCAGCCGCACAAACUUUGGCUGGGAUGCAAAAGUGAACCAGACAUCAAAACUUUAUUUUGGCAUGUAAGCUGGGCAAAGUUGAGAGCACUCGUGAUGUCAUUUUAGAAAACAUUGUUUUGUUCACUUUCUGAGCAGUCUUUCAGUUUUGUGUCCCAGUCUUCUGUUUGAAUCAUGGCAUCUGUUAUUUUUAUUCGAUCAUUUGAUUUUCAUUUUUAUUGUACUUCUGUACUAAUCUCCUUUUGUGUGGUAAAUGCACACUUAUUGUUGUUUCAACAUGGGAGGCCUGUACCUCAGACAGUAUUUUAUUUGUCCUCUAUCAUCUUUGAAAUGUCAUGAACAUGUUGAAAUGUUUGUAUUAAAGCAAUUACUGCUGUUCAUAA
Molecule: long non-coding RNA, 1680 nt
Organism: Clupea harengus (Atlantic herring)
Lineage: Eukaryota; Metazoa; Chordata; Actinopteri; Clupeiformes; Clupeidae
Source: Ensembl